CAAGAAAGAAAAGCUGGACUAUAAGGAGGCAAGAGAUUUGCCCUCUCUGGUCAUGCCCGGCGCCCGUUAGUGAUACCAGAAGGUUGGAGCCAGAACCUGGCGCAUGCUGCUCUCUACUUCCGGUUUGUGGUCCCAGGCUAACCCGAAACUCCCUCCACCUUCAGGAUGCUGAGAUUCCAGCUCUGACCCUCCAUGCCCUGCUUCCUAGCCUCCCAUUUGACUCCGCCAGCAGCAGCAGGAGGAGGAGGAGGAUUCUCAGAAUUGGACCUGUGUUCCUUUCCCUGGUGACACACGGAUGGGCCAACACUGCAGAUGGCUGCCACCCUGAAGCUGGAAGCCACAUGCCAGUCCAGACCUCGGGGAAUCUCUGCCCUGAACAGUUUUCUUCAGAAUAGGGUCUGUGCCUCAUCUUUAGACUGUCAGCAUGCCGAAGAAAGGAAAGUUCCGUGUCUAAAAAACAGUGAUGCUCCUGCUCAUUGUUGAACAGCCAGACUGAUACGGCUGAGGCAGGAGGAUGGUGAGUUCCAGUUCACCAUGGGCAAUGGCUAGAGACUCUAUCUCAAAGAGAAAGUAAAAGGGGGCCAGGAAAUGAUGUGAGGACACAGGUUCAAUUCCCAGCAGUGAAAUAAAGAAAAAUAAAUAAAUAAAAAAAUAAAUAAAUCCUGCCCUUUACAACGUAUGAACAAGAUGAACAAGAAGGACCUUAAGAUGAGCAAUGCGUAAAAAAGCUGUGCCUUGGUAGCACACAGCUUUAAUCCCAGCACCUGGGAGGCAGAGGAAGGUGGAUCUCUGAGUUCGAGGCCAGCCUGGUCUACAGAGUGAGUCCCAGGACUACACAGAGAAACCCUGUCUCCAAAAACCAAAAACAAACAAACAAACAAACAAACAAAAAAGGAAAAAAAAGAAACGGGCAAGAAAGAAAAAAAAUAAAAAAGCAAAAUAAGCCAGAUUCAGAAAGACCAGUAUCAAGUGAUGUCACUUUUAUGUGGGGAAGUCAAUGUCAUAGAAAUAGAGACUAGAAUGAUGGAUGCCAGCAACCGGGAGGAGAGAAAGGGGGAGAUGUGAGUCAAAGGCUGUCAUAGCAUAACAUUUUGGAGGACCAAAGUACAGCAUUGUGAUUAUAGUUGAUAACUAAGUAAGUCAGGGUGGGAGAGAUGGCUCAUGGGGAAAAAAGCACUAGCCCUGCAAGCUGAUACUUGAGUUUGCUCUCUGGAACCCACAGUGGGAGGAAAGGGCUUACUGACGAAAGUUCCUUGCUUAUCAUCCACAUACAUGCUGUGGUAAUAAUGUCCGUUCUCACCUGUACCCAUCUUACAUACACUUAGGUCAUACUGAGGCUCAAACCAAGGCCUUGGGCAUGUCAGUGAAGCAUUUUACCAACUUACAGCUACAUCCCUGUGUAGGGAUCUUGUCCUAUGUCCCAGCCCGUCCUCAAACUCAUCCUCCCACCUAUGCCUCUUAAGGGCUUGGUAGCUAUGUGCUGUCACUCCUGGCCAUCAGUUUGAUUUCAAUGAAUCCAAGGAAUGAAUGAAUGAAGAGUUAUCAUGAAAGCAAGCAUCCAUAUCAAGUCUGUGUAUAGACGUCCUCAGCUCCCCUGUUGACUCAUUAGCAGGCCGGAGUUUUCCGUCUCCUUUUCCAUUCCAUAAACGGAUCUAAAUCAAGAGCUGUUGGCCGGCCCCGGAGGUAGCAAGGAAAAGUGUUCCUGCUUUUGGUCGGGGUCUCUGAAGGGUGAUCUGCCACAGGAACAAUGAAAGCCAGGUGCCUCCCAGUAUGGGUAGGGACAUGUAGAAAAAUAUCCUCGGAUUACUUCCAGCCCUUUUGACUAUGGGGAAAACUCUUAUUAGUGUCAGGCAUUACCCACCAUCCCUCCCUAGAAUUUUCUCCGCCAUUUUCUGGCUACAAACUCCAAGAAAGAGAAAACGGUCUGACCCAGGGCUGAGGCAGCGAGAGUCUUUUCCUUGGAUUUUUGUACACUUCAUUUCUAUAUUUUUAUAAUGCUGUGGAUCAAAUGCAAGGCUCCGCUUACACCAGGUAAGCUGUUUACUGCCCAGUUAGCUACUUGACACAAGCCAGAAUUGGUUUUGAAGAGGGGGAAAAAAAAGUCUCCAUCAGAUUGGCCUGUAGGGCAUUUUCUCGAUUGGUGGUGAGUGUGGGAGGGCCCCAGCUCACUGUGGGUGCUAUCACCUCUGUGUUAGAGAUCCUGGGUGCUGUGAGAAAGCAGGCUUGGAUGGGGGUGGCUGGAGAGAUGGCUUAAUGGUUAGGAGCUCUUGCUGUUCUUACAGAAUCAGGGUCCGGUUCCCAACACUCUUGCCUGACAACCUUCAUGUUAGACGUGAACAUGGUGCACACACAUACAUACAGGCAAACUACUCACAUAAAAUAAGUAAAUCUAAAAGAAGACAGCACAGCAGGGCUGGGCAAUCCAUGAGGAGCAAGCCAGUAAGCAGCACUCCACCAUGGCCUCUGCAUCAGCUCCUGCCUCCAGGUUCCUGCCUUGAACUUUCUUGGUUUUUGGGUUUUUUUAAAGAUUUAUUUAUUUAUUUUGUGUAUAUGAGUACACUGGAGCUGUACAGAUGCAGAUGGUUGUGAGCCUUCAUGUGGUUGCUGGGAAUUGAAUUUAGGAUCUCUGCUCCCUCCUGCCCAAAGAUUUAUUUAUUAUUAUUAUAUAAGUAUACUAUAGCUGUCUUCAAACACACCAGAAGAGGGCAUCCGAUCUCACUACAGAUGGUUGUGAGCCACUAUGUGGUUGCUGGGAUUUGAACUCAGGACCUUUGGAAGAGCAGUUAGUGCUCUUAAUCGCUGAGCCAUCUCACCAGCCCUUGCCCUGACUUUCUUUAAUGAUGGACCUUGAUGUGGAGCCAAAAUAAACCCUUUCCUCUCCAAGUUGCUUUUGGCCAUAGUAUUUAGCACAACAACUGGAACUUGAAACCUAAGUAAGAUAGCCACUGAGCUAUAUUUCUAGCUCUUGUAUUUUAAAUUUUAUUUAUAAAAGAACGUUUUUAAACAUUUAUUUUUAUGUGUCUGUGUGAACAUGCCAUGUGACUGUAGUACCUAGAGAUGCCGAAAGAGGGCGCGCUAAAACCCCCAGAGCCGAAGUUCCAGGUGACUGUGAGCCACUGGAUGUAGAUGCUGGGAACUGAAUUCAGGUUCUCAGCUCUUUUUGUUUGUUUUUGAGACCCGGCCACGUUGUGUACAUCAGGCUGGCCUAAAACUUGCCAUGUAAAUCAGGCUGGCCUCCAGCUCAGAGAUCUAUCUACCUCUGCCUCCUGAGUGCUGGGCUUAAAGGUAUGUACCAUCAAGACCAGAGAGCAAUACUUGCACUUAACUGCUGAACUCUCUCUCCAGCCCAACCCUUGGGUUUUUAAAUCUAGAGCAGGUAGGGCCUCAGGCUUAUCUCAUUUGCCUAAUGAUAUUUGAAAUAUUGUGAAAUAAGAUAUUCACGCUGGGAGAUAAAAUUUGAUCUAGGCUAUCCCUGAGAAGGGCAAACUCACCCUGCAUCCAGAACAGGGCUGCUAGCCUGUCCCCUUCUUUUCAACAAUGUUUGUCCUGCAACAAAGAGAGACAGGGCUUGGGGAGAGGUGGCUCAGUGGUUAAGAGCACUUGCUGCCUUUGCAGAGGACCUGGGUUCUGUCCCCAGCAGCUCACAACCACCUGUAACCCCAGUUCCAGAGGGAUCUGACACCCUCUUCUGAACGCCAUAGGCACCAGGCUCUCACAUGCUGCAUAUACAUACAUACAUACAUACAUACAUACAUACAUACAUACACAUCAAGGCAAAAACACUCAUGUACAUGAAAUAAAAUAGAUCUUAAAGAAGACAAGACUCACCAUGGUCCACGAGGCACAAUAUAUUUAUUAGAUACUUAGCUCUACAGACAUGAGUUUUCUCUCUCUCUCUCUCUCUCCCUCUCUGUGUUUUGCUUUGCUGUUUUUUUAAAGACUUAUUUAUUUAUUAUAUGUAAGUGCACUGUAGCUGUCUUCAGACACUCCAGAAGAGAGCAACAGAUCUCAUUACGGAUGGUUGUGAGCCACCAUGUGGUUGCUGGGAUUUGAACUCAUGACCUUCGGAAGAGCAGUCAGUGCUCUUAACUGCUGAGCCAUCUCACCAGCCCUUUGCUUUGUUUUUGAGACAGGGUGUCAUUAUGUAGCCCCAGCUGCACUGGAACUUGCCAGGUAGACCAGCCUGGCCUUGAAUUCACUGAGGUCAUCCUGCCUCUGCCUCUGGAGUACUGGAACUAAAAGUAUGAGACACCGCAGUUGGAUGCUUCCUUCCUUCCUUCUUUCUUUCCUUUCUCUCUUUUUAAAUUUUAUUUUGUUUUGAGAUAAGGUCUCAUGUAGCUGAAGCUGGCCUUGAACCCCUGAUCUCCCUACAUAUUGUCUUCCAAGCACUUGGGCACUGCAGGAAUGCACCAUCAUACCUGGCUUCUCCAACCCCAACUUGCUUUGGGGGAGGGGGAUCUUAGAGAUAGGGUCAUAGCCCAGCCUUGAUCUUCCUACCUCAGACUCCUGAGCCAGUAACUGGGCUUAUAGGUAAUGUAUACUAAAACCACAUCCAAUUCUGACCCACGUUCUCUCCCAUUACUCUUUGUUCAGCUACACUGACUUCUAGUCUGUCCCUCAGUCAAGUUACACUGACCUCCCUAAUUCUAAUUCUACAGUUUAAGGUCUAAAUUUUAGACGAAAAGCCCCUCAACCUGGACACAUCUUUAUCCUUUCUGCCUAGCUCAAACAUCACCCUGCUCCUGUCUUCUUUGUUACUCCCUCUCUUCCCCUCUCUGGUGCCCUCUAUAGCCUAAUACCACCUCUUCAGUAGUCACUUCUUCCCAGGUCACCUCAUUUGGGAAAUGUGAUGGUAGUCUACUUUGCAGAGUCUCCCCGAGCACCCUUGCUCUGAGCAAUCUUGCUGCGUGUACUUUAUAAAGAGACAUUGUUGCCACUUAACAGAUGAGAAAACCUAUAGAUAAGGUAUUCUAACAAUGCAGGCUCAGGGAUUCUAGUGUAGAUAACCCAGGAAGGCAGGAGAAGAAAGUGGUUAAGUCUGGAAUUGCAAGACUAGAGCUUUUAAAUAGAGUCCCCGUCCUACCCCCAUCCAUCCCGGACAAACGUGAUUUGCAAUGUAUCGGCCAGAACCCAUUCGCCCCCUGCUGGUUAAGACUUGAGUCCAGGCAUACAGGAGUAAUCAUGGUCACUCAGUUACUUCUGGGGGGUUGGAUAGGUCCAACCUGUGUCUUGAGGCCCAGACCUUGUGCCCCCACCAUCUGCAGAGCAUCAGGGCAGCAUCUGAAGCCCACAACGCCUACUGCAAGUCAUUUUCUUAAUGUGUUGACCUUUUCAACCAACCCCAGGCUCUGCUACCCUGUCAGAAGACAGAGAGCGAUCCAGCACCCCCAGAACCCCACCCAGCUUUGGGCUGGCUUCUGAUGAUCCCUAUCCCAUUUUUGUUUUCUGUCCCUAGACUCUGGCUCAGCUGAAGUCAGGGCUGACUUGGACUUCAGAGCCACAGCCCCCUGCUGGUCCCGGUUCUGGUCACUAAGUGGGGUUGGGAACAAAACAAGAUCGCUUAUGUUCUUAAUGGACUCUGUAACAGUGCUUUUUGUUUUGUUUUGCAUUGCCCACCCACUCUGACCCCACGCUGGCCACUAAUCCCCGGAGGCUCUCCCGCUUAGCUUACCGU
This is a long non-coding RNA of Mus musculus (house mouse), 5674 nucleotides long. RefSeq annotates it as predicted gene, 42023. The transcript has 4 exons. The record is from RefSeq and is a predicted model, not a curated record. NCBI's taxonomy places the organism in Eukaryota, Metazoa, Chordata, Mammalia, Rodentia, Muridae.